UAAAUAAUGACAGUUUGUAAUCUUCAAACGCAAAGACUGGUAUGGCAUACUUGAUACCUUAAUACUGUUUAAGAAAUCUGAACUAACAGGAUUGUUUAAUGAAUCUGAAUUUGAAGGAUCUAUACUAUUAGCCGAAAGAUAGAUUCUUUCUUGACUUGUAACAAAUAAAAUAACAAUCAACUCUUCACAAAAAGUCAGAAGAAUGGAGAACAUAAAUUAAAAGAUUAAAU
Molecule: small RNA, 230 nt
Filed under: Arabidopsis thaliana (thale cress)
Lineage: Eukaryota; Viridiplantae; Streptophyta; Magnoliopsida; Brassicales; Brassicaceae
Description: ATSL261530
Source: RNAcentral